This is a long non-coding RNA of Cyprinodon tularosa, 2557 nucleotides long. RefSeq lists it as uncharacterized. The record is from RefSeq and is a predicted model, not a curated record. The transcript is spliced from 2 exons. NCBI's taxonomy places the organism in Eukaryota, Metazoa, Chordata, Actinopteri, Cyprinodontiformes, Cyprinodontidae.
ACUGAGAAAAAUGUCCUGUGUAGGCAGCUAAUGAACAUUGUGUCAUCAAUGUUCCAGCGUAAGUCUAAGGAUUGUUUUGCUAGUGUGACAUUAACUAUUUCACAAUGACAAGACAACAGACAAAAAUCUAGAAAAUCUGUCAAACAUGGUCCAGGGACGUAAUUCCAGUGAACUGGAGACAAAGCUGAUGCAGGCUUUGAAAGUAACGGUGGGCCCCAAAUCCAAGUGAUAAUAUCUACAACCAAAGACCUAAUUACUGGUUUUCAAAUAAAUAUUUUAGAAACCAAGCUGGAUUUUUUGGAAUAGUGGACCACAUACCACAUGCUAGUCAUAAAAUAAUUUCAUAUAGAUUAAUUUUAUACAUGAUGAGAUGUGGAUGUAAAUAUUGAGAAUGAUGCAUUAAUAACUCACUCUAUCUCCUCUCAGUCCUGGAAGACCAGCAGCUCCACGCUCACCAGGCAUUCCCUGCAGUCCAGGGGAACCCAUAGCUCCUGGAGUACCAGGGGCUCCAGGUUCUCCCUAAUGACAAAUGGAGGAAAUCAAAGACUGGUUAACAGGUAGGCUUACUUGAACAUUAUUUUACUUAAAGUCACAAAUGAAUUAAAUUACCCUUUACCUUAGCACCAUCAUUACCAGGAGAACCAGGAGAUCCUCGGGCACCAGCAGGUCCAACAGGGCCAGGGGCACCACGUUCACCAGGGAAUCCUCUGUCACCCUGAGGAGAUCAUGUGGAAGAAACUUAGAUCUCAGCCGUCCAGCCAUUAAGAAGAAAUCCAUCCUUUUUUUAAUGAAAAGGGAGAAAAGUGUUGAGAGGCUCCAACAAACUGAUGAAACUUACGGUCGUCCUCGCCCUGCGCCCUGACCAGGAGCACCGUGGCGCCAAGCAGCAGCGCCAGCCGCAAAUCCACAAAGCUGAACAUGUCUAGAUGCCACCAGACAUGUAGACUCUUUGAGGCAAAAGAGGAAAAAAGUUGGGGAUGUUUUCUCUUUCUGCUACACUCCACUCAUACAGGGGUGUUUGGGGCAGGAUCCGUGCGUCUGUCCAAAGUCCUCCUGACCCCAGCAGAAAACUCCCUACUGCCUGCACUCAUUUUCCACAAGGGCUUUUAUAUGGGAGCCCAAAGAACUGGGAGGUACUGGGACAGGACCGACUAAGGGGGGGUGCACCCUCAUUAGCCCGUUGCUGCUGCUCACGUUUAGGGAAGACAAGAAAGAACAUCUCCUUCAAAGGGAAAAAAAAAAAAAUAGAAGGAGAAAAAGCAUGUCCCUCCUUCCAUAAUUGCACAGCAUGCCUGGAUCUGAGGAAGGAGGGGUUUGAGCAGGGGGAAACUUGAUCCAUAUGAUCACUGGAGAGGCAGAGGAGGAUUUCCAUCUUCAGUAACCCUGCUUUUAAUCUAGAUUUCUGUUUGGUUGUGAUUCACCUUCUGAUUUACUUGGAUUUCAUGCUAUUUUCAGUUCGGACUGCCUUGUACAUUGUUUUAUGGAGAUUUAACCCAUAGAAGAGUGUAGUUUCAACUGUCACUGCUUUAAGAUAGCCUAAAUAUGGGAAAUUAGCCUGUGUUUCUUUUUCACAUUACCUUGAUUCACAAUUCACAAACAAUCAUCAUCUUACAUUUAUCUGAUUAGCAUCUUUGGGUGAUCCAAUUUAAAUUUGUUUUAACUAUAUUUUUGUAUUAAAAACUUAAUUUGCAGCUAGAAGACUUUGAAAAUACUCUCUGGCAAUAUAUAUGAGUGAUAAGUCUUUCUUUCUCAGUGUACCUUGAUUAAUGGACAACUAAACAUGUCUUGAAAUGCAUCAAAAAGGUUCAUUUGUAACCGCCUAUUAACAAUAAAAGAUCAGAUUAGGUCAGUGAGUCAAGAGUGUAGUGGCAUUGAUGGAUAAUGACAUAUAUUUAUUUACCUUGCAUUAAUCUGAAAAAUCUUUUUCACCAUACAAUACAAAAAUGAGAACAAGAUGUCAUAACAUCUGAUGCAAUGAAUCAUUGUAUUUAUCGUUAAUUUGGGCAGGAAAAUAAGAUGAUCUGCUAAUGGAAUACCCUUUACUCUUAAAAGACGAUAAUUAGAUAUUAUGCACUUAAAAUAAGAGAAUGCAAUGGUUGUAUUUUUGUUAAUUUAAAGUUAAUUGUCUUGAACCAUUGCCAUUCUUUUUUUUCAAGAAUCCUGAGCAAGAUUUGUCUCUUCCAGAGGAUUGGUGAAAAUUAGAGUCUGUUUUGCUUCACUGCUGAUACAAAAUAAACCGCUAUAAAUCUUUCCCUGAGCUCAAAUUAGAUUAAACAUAUAAGAACUGUGUUGCUACACCUAUGUGCAUGUUUAAUUUGCUUCCUCUUGAACAAAAAAUGACCGCCUGAGCAUUCCAAACAUAAACAUUUAUAAGGUUUUCCCCCAAACAGCAGGCAGCUUUUUACCCAGUGACCUCCAAAUACAAUGUCUUAGGAGGGGUUUUGUGAAAGACCGUUCAGAAUUUUAUUUUAAAAGACAUAGUUUACAUCAUUAUGUACUCUUUAAUUUAGGCCAUCAGCUUUCAAACUAAAACAAUAAAAGAAAACUGCACAUUUCA